UUAACUAUUAUAUAGUACUCAGACAGCACAAAUUCAAGGGUUUUGGAUCCUCUGGCCAGCCCGAGGGCCGGCCAAAGCAACUGCGGUUUGGUAAACAAAGGGUGAGAAUGGGACCGUGAAGGUCACCGAUUCUGUAAUGAUCCUUCCGCAGGUUCACCUACGGAAA
This 166-nucleotide unclassified non-coding RNA is filed under the name uncultured fungus. Its description in RNAcentral is "sequence contains ITS1". The record is from RNAcentral. Lineage: Eukaryota; Fungi.